Molecule: transfer RNA, 75 nt
Filed under: Candidatus Levybacteria bacterium RIFCSPHIGHO2_01_FULL_37_17
Lineage: Bacteria; Candidatus Levyibacteriota
Also listed under: 1 other name
Description: tRNA-Cys
Rfam family: tRNA
About the family: Transfer RNA (tRNA) molecules are approximately 80 nucleotides in length. Their secondary structure includes four short double-helical elements and three loops (D, anti-codon, and T loops).
Source: RNAcentral
GGCGCGGUGGCGAAGAGGUAACGCAGCUGUUUGCAGAACAGAUAUACAGGGGUUCGAUUCCCCUCCGCGCCUCAA